GUCCAGGUAUGCAUCUGAUCAUAGAUUCAAAAAGUGGCCCAAGAUCUUCAGCUAAAUCAUCAGGAGAUAACCCUGCCUUUCCUUUUAUACCACUUGCAUAUAUUGCUUGGAAAUCACACUGUUCAUCUGUAGCAUUUAGCUCAAUAAAUAGUUCAAAGGUGGAAUUGAUGACAUAAUCUGGACGUGCAGAAGGUCUAUCAAUCUUAUUG
Molecule: unclassified non-coding RNA, 209 nt
Filed under: Hevea brasiliensis (rubber tree)
Lineage: Eukaryota; Viridiplantae; Streptophyta; Magnoliopsida; Malpighiales; Euphorbiaceae
Source: RNAcentral